Molecule: long non-coding RNA, 300 nt
Organism: Pollicipes pollicipes
Lineage: Eukaryota; Metazoa; Arthropoda; Thecostraca; Pollicipedomorpha; Pollicipedidae
Exons: 3
Source: RefSeq, a predicted model, not a curated record
GGCACACCGCGGCGCGCCUCCAUCCUCUCAGCAAUCGCCACCGUCAAGCACCCAGCUCGUGACCGGUGUAUUCACAGCACAGAGACGCGCAUCAGACCUCCGAUGUCGACCAUUUUCACUAUUCUGAUGCUGCUGCUGGCCACCCUGAGUAUGGUCAGCGGCCGCUGCCCGGACAACUGCCCAGAAAACUUCCACUGUCGGCUUAACAAACAUUGUUACCCGGAUAUCGACUUCGGUGACACGUACCGACACAUCUGCUGCCCGGGACGUCAUGGUCGAUGAACUCAUGGAUGUGACUUG